GCGUCAGCGGGCCUCCCGGGCGGGCGGCGCCUUCAAGAGGCGCCGCCGGGCCGCCUCCGUCAGCGGCCGGUACGCGCCCGCCCUGUCGCG
Molecule: transfer RNA, 90 nt
Filed under: Actinomadura madurae
Lineage: Bacteria; Bacillati; Actinomycetota; Actinomycetes; Streptosporangiales; Thermomonosporaceae
Description: tRNA-Leu(caa)
Source: RNAcentral